AUGUGUGCCGGCGACGGUACGGGGGAGCGCUGCGCAUGCGCGCUGUGCGGAGCGGCGGCGGACGUGCACUGCGAGGCCGACGCGGCGUUCCUCUGCGCGCCAUGCGACGCCCACGUGCACGGCGCCAACUUCCUCGCGUCCCGCCACCGCCGCACGCGCGUGUCGCUGACGCCUAAGGGCGUGAACGUCAUAUCCAGGACUGCUACGACGUCGAACUCCUGCGUGUCCACGGCCGACUCCGCGACGACGGCGGCGCUGCACAGCAGGGGGGCGACGCUACCGGUCAGAAGGCGCGGCGCGCGGGGCGAGGCGGUGCUUGAGGGCUGGGCCAGGCGGAUGGGCCUCGAGGCGGGGGCGGCGCACCGGCGUGCCGCGGCGGCCGGCCGCGCGAUCCGGGCCCAGGUCGCCGCGGCGGCGCCACGCGUGCCGCUGCGCGUCACCAUGGCUGCGGUGCUGUGGUCGGAGGUGGCGGCUCCCGGCGUCCACGAGCCCGGCGAAGCGCUCCGGCGCCUGGAGGCCUGCGCGCACGUGCCGGCGAGGCUCCUCGUGGAGGUGGCAGCGGUGUCGACGAUGGGGGACGCGCGCGCGAAGAAGAGGACGGCCGCAGUGGACACCGAGGACGGCUGGGGGGACUGCUUGACCGUGAGCCUGGACAAGACACCAUGUUCUCCAAGACACGAGCUUCUCUUGUUCGUUUAG
RNAcentral lists this ribosomal RNA (699 nucleotides) under Triticum aestivum (bread wheat). RNAcentral describes it as "partial small subunit ribosomal RNA". The record is from RNAcentral. Lineage: Eukaryota; Viridiplantae; Streptophyta; Magnoliopsida; Poales; Poaceae.